Molecule: ribosomal RNA, 1159 nt
Filed under: Lacticaseibacillus paracasei
Lineage: Bacteria; Bacillati; Bacillota; Bacilli; Lactobacillales; Lactobacillaceae
Description: bacterial SSU rRNA
Rfam family: Bacterial small subunit ribosomal RNA
Source: RNAcentral
UCGGGCUUGGCGGGUGCUAUACAUGCAGUCGAACGAGUUCUCGUUGAUGAUCGGUGCUUGCACCGAGAUUCAACAUGGAACGAGUGGCGGACGGGUGAGUAACACGUGGGUAACCUGCCCUUAAGUGGGGGAUAACAUUUGGAAACAGAUGCUAAUACCGCAUAGAUCCAAGAACCGCAUGGUUCUUGGCUGAAAGAUGGCGUAAGCUAUCGCUUUUGGAUGGACCCGCGGCGUAUUAGCUAGUUGGUGAGGUAAUGGCUCACCAAGGCGAUGAUACGUAGCCGAACUGAGAGGUUGAUCGGCCACAUUGGGACUGAGACACGGCCCAAACUCCUACGGGAGGCAGCAGUAGGGAAUCUUCCACAAUGGACGCAAGUCUGAUGGAGCAACGCCGCGUGAGUGAAGAAGGCUUUCGGGUCGUAAAACUCUGUUGUUGGAGAAGAAUGGUCGGCAGAGUAACUGUUGUCGGCGUGACGGUAUCCAACCAGAAAGCCACGGCUAACUACGUGCCAGCAGCCGCGGUAAUACGUAGGUGGCAAGCGUUAUCCGGAUUUAUUGGGCGUAAAGCGAGCGCAGGCGGUUUUUUAAGUCUGAUGUGAAAGCCCUCGGCUUAACCGAGGAAGCGCAUCGGAAACUGGGAAACUUGAGUGCAGAAGAGGACAGUGGAACUCCAUGUGUAGCGGUGAAAUGCGUAGAUAUAUGGAAGAACACCAGUGGCGAAGGCGGCUGUCUGGUCUGUAACUGACGCUGAGGCUCGAAAGCAUGGGUAGCGAACAGGAUUAGAUACCCUGGUAGUCCAUGCCGUAAACGAUGAAUGCUAGGUGUUGGAGGGUUUCCGCCCUUCAGUGCCGCAGCUAACGCAUUAAGCAUUCCGCCUGGGGAGUACGACCGCAAGGUUGAAACUCAAAGGAAUUGACGGGGGCCCGCACAAGCGGUGGAGCAUGUGGUUUAAUUCGAAGCAACGCGGAGACCCUUACCAGUCUUGACAUCUUUUGAUCACUGAGAGAUCAGUUUCCUCUUUCGGGCAAAUGACAGUGUGCAUGCUGUCGUCAGCUCGUGUCGUGAGAUGUGGGUAGUCCCGCACGAGCGCAACCCUUAUGACUAGGUGCAGCAAUUAGUGGCACUCUAGUUAGACUGCCCGGUGACAACCGAGAAGUUG